UCUGGGCACUGUGACAUGAGCCUGUAGUCUCACCUAUUUAGGAGGCUGAGGCAGGAGGAACACUUGAGCCCAGGAGUUCAGGUCAGCCUGAACAACAUAAUGAGACUUUGUCUCAA
Molecule: small RNA, 116 nt
Filed under: Marmota monax (woodchuck)
Lineage: Eukaryota; Metazoa; Chordata; Mammalia; Rodentia; Sciuridae
Source: RNAcentral